Molecule: ribosomal RNA, 469 nt
Filed under: uncultured bacterium
Lineage: Bacteria
Description: bacterial SSU rRNA
Rfam family: Bacterial small subunit ribosomal RNA
Source: RNAcentral
AUUGAACGCUGGCGGCAUGCCUUACACAUGCAAGUCGAACGGCAGCGCGGGAGCAAUCCUGGCGGCGAGUGGCGAACGGGUGAGUAAUAUAUCGGAACGUGCCCAGUAGUGGGGGAUAGCCCGGCGAAAGCCGGAUUAAUACCGCAUACGACCUGAGGGUGAAAGCGGGGGAUCGCAAGACCUCGCGCUAUUGGAGCGGCCGAUAUCAGAUUAGCUAGUUGGUGGGGUAAAGGCCUACCAAGGCAACGAUCUGUAGUUGGUCUGAGAGGACGACCAGCCACACUGGGACUGAGACACGGCCCAGACUCCUACGGGAGGCAGCAGUGGGGAAUUUUGGACAAUGGGCGCAAGCCUGAUCCAGCAAUACCGCGUGUGUGAAGAAGGCCUGCGGGUUGUAAAGCACUUUCAGUUGGGAAGAUAAUGACGUUACCAACAGAAGAAGCACCGGCUAACUCCGUGCCAGCAGCCG